RNAcentral lists this ribosomal RNA (328 nucleotides) under uncultured eukaryote. RNAcentral describes it as "partial 18S ribosomal RNA". It matches the Rfam family "Eukaryotic small subunit ribosomal RNA", at positions 1470 to 1796 of the family's 1831-position model. The record is from RNAcentral.
CCCUUAGAUGUCCUGGGCUGCACGCGCGCUACACUGAUGUGUUCAAUAAGCACCUAACCUACUCCGAAGGGACUGGGUAACCUUUGCAAAGCACAUCGUGAUGGGGAUAGAUUAUUGCAAUUAUUAGUCUUGAACGAGGAAUUCCUAGUAAGCGCAAGUCAUCAGCUUGUGUUGAUUACGUCCCUGCCCUUUGUACACACCGCCCGUCGCUCCUACCGAUUGGAUGGUCCGGUGAAGCCUCGGGAUUGUGGUUCUUGCCGCUUUAUUGUGGCGUGACCGCGAGAACUUGUCUAAACCUUAUCAUCUAGAGGAAGGUGAAGUCGUAACA